GCCCCAGUUCGGAUUGCAGGCUGCAACCCGCCUGCAUGAAGUUGGAAUCGCUAGUAAUCGCGGAUCAGCAUGCCGCGGUGAAUACGUUCCCGGGCCUUGUACANACCGCCCGUCACACCAUGAGAGUCGGGAACACCCGAAGUCCGUAGCCUAACCGCAAGGAGGGCGCGGCCGAAGGUGGGUUCGAUAAUUGGGGUGAAGUCGUAACAAGGUAGC
This 216-nucleotide ribosomal RNA is filed under the name uncultured bacterium. RNAcentral's name for it is "partial 16S ribosomal RNA". It matches the Rfam family "Bacterial small subunit ribosomal RNA", at positions 1285 to 1500 of the family's 1533-position model. The record is from RNAcentral.